UUUCUUUUCCUUUGGGUUCUGCUACCCUUUUUAGCCGAGUCACUGUCUUUUUUUUUCCUUCGGAUUCCGCUACCUUUCUUAGCCCAGUCACGAAGGGGCAUGGCUGCAUCAGAAAACACCGCUACCCUUCUUGGCCUAGUCACGAAGGGCCAUGGCUGCAUCAGAAAACAAAACAAAUCAUGACAAAAUUUUGGCUUUCCACAAUUUUUUUUUCUAACUUUAGUUUUCCCCUUGGCUUAUUUUUCGUGCUUGUUACUAUACGGAAAAAUUACACAGGUUUUGUUUGGGUCGGUGUGGUGCACUAAUUUAUAGAUAGUGACCGUCUUGUAUCAAAGGAAAUGUCCACAUCGUAUACAAUCCCUUUUUUUUUUUUAGUUCGCUAUUUAGUUCCAAUAAUUUUCCUGCCCGUUGCUUGGCCAAUAUUAUUAUUUUUUCACUAGUUAAUACAAUUCUUAAUAGUAAUUAUAACUUCCAUUAUCUGAUUUUUAAAAUAUAACUACAAAAAAAGAUUUUUAUCCCAGAAUGCAAUUAACAUCAUUAUAUUCUCUGAAAACUUAUAUAAUGCACGAAAUUUCUAAACCAUUUUCUCUCCCAGAAAAAAAAUAAAAAUAAAUUAAACUUAUGCAAACUGAAACGGACAAAAAUAGAAAUAGAUACUUUUCUUUGAAGAGGGGGAGAGUUUAGUUGAUUAAUUUUCUUCUUUGGUCUUUGAAUUUCACUUUUGAG
RNAcentral lists this long non-coding RNA (726 nucleotides) under Amborella trichopoda. RNAcentral describes it as "long non-coding RNA (ATRI_LNC004155)". Lineage: Eukaryota; Viridiplantae; Streptophyta; Magnoliopsida; Amborellales; Amborellaceae. The record is from RNAcentral.